CUACGGGCCGCUGCAGUGGGGAAUAUUGCACAAUGGGCGCAAGCCUGAUGCAGCCAUGCCGCGUGUAUGAAGAAGGCCUUCGGGUUGUAAAGUACUUUCAGCGGGGAGGAAGGGAGUAAAGUUAAUACCUUUGCUCAUUGACGUUACCCGCAGAAGAAGCACCGGCUAACUCCGUGCCAGCAGCCGCGGUAAUACGGAGGGUGCAAGCGUUAAUCGGAAUUACUGGGCGUGAAGCGCACGCAGGCGGUUUGUUAAGUCAGAUGUGAAAUCCCCGGGCUCAACCCGGGAACUGCAUCUGAUACUGGCAAGCUUGAGUCUCGUAGAGGGGGGUAGAAUUCCAGGUGUAGCGGUGAAAUGCGUAGAGAUCUGGAGGAAUACCGGUGGCGAAGGCGGCCCCCUGGACGAAGACUGACGCUCAGGUGCGAAAGCGUGGGGAGCAAACAGGAUUAGAUACCCCAGUAGUC
This 464-nucleotide ribosomal RNA is filed under the name uncultured bacterium. RNAcentral describes it as "partial 16S ribosomal RNA". It matches the Rfam family "Bacterial small subunit ribosomal RNA", at positions 339 to 795 of the family's 1533-position model. The record is from RNAcentral.